ACGGGCUUCGGUCUGGUGGCGAGUGGCGAACGGGUGAGUAAAGUAUCGGAACGUACCUUUCAGUGGGGGAUAACGUAGCGAAAGUUACGCUAAUACCGCAUAUUCUGUGAGCAGGAAAGCAGGGGAUCGCAAGACCUUGCGCUGAUUGAGCGGCCGAUAUCAGAUUAGCUAGUUGGUGGGGUAAAGGCCUACCAAGGCGACGAUCUGUAGCGGGUCUGAGAGGAUGAUCCGCCACACUGGAACUGAGACACGGUCCAGACUCCUACGGGAGGCAGCAGUGGGGAAUUUUGGACAAUGGGGGCAACCCUGAUCCAGCCAUGCCGCGUGAGUGAAGAAGGCCUUCGGGUUGUAAAGCUCUUUCGGCCGGGAAGAAAUCGCAUGGGCUAAUACCCUGUGUGGAUGACGGUACCGGAAUAAGAAGCACCGGCUAACUACGUGCCAGCAGCCGCGGUAAUACGUAGGGUGCGAGCGUUAAUCGGAAUUACUGGGCGUAAAGCGUGCGCAGGCGGUUUAGUAAGACAGGCGUGAAAUCCCCCGGGCUCAACCUGGGAACUGCGCUUGUGACUGCUAAGCUAGAGUAC
RNAcentral lists this ribosomal RNA (581 nucleotides) under uncultured Dechloromonas sp. Its description in RNAcentral is "bacterial SSU rRNA". It matches the Rfam family "Bacterial small subunit ribosomal RNA", at positions 73 to 649 of the family's 1533-position model. Lineage: Bacteria; Pseudomonadati; Pseudomonadota; Betaproteobacteria; Rhodocyclales; Azonexaceae. The record is from RNAcentral.